CUUGGGGAUGCCCAAGGCAUCCCCUUCUUCAUCGACAACAUUAUCAGGUAAUCUGUAAUCAAAACGGAGAAAACCGUGCUAAGGUUGUUUUACUUCACACUACUUGGCCACGCAGCUAUGAAGCUCAUCUGGAGAGCUUGGGGGAGAAGUACAACGGCAAAGAACUCGGUCCUUUAGGUAUGUUCAAGGAGUUCCACUUGAGCUGACAUACGGGCUUCUCCACCCCCACUAAGAAUGAAAUUCUAAGGCAGCUUUCAAAGAGUCAUCACUAAUGUGAAGUUAUAUUAUGCUGCAUCUCAUAACCAUGUUUCUUUGAAAAACAAGGCUGAGAUGGAACAUGAGAUGUCUGUACCAACAGCUGAUGGAGGACGCAAGACUGAGGCUCAGGUUGUACACGAUGUCCUGUCAAAGCAAAUCUCCCAACCUACUUUUCUUCAGAACGUGGGGGUUGUGCAUCAGCCCUCUCAGCCUUGUCGAGUCAGAAAGAGCAAGCUUGCUGCAGAACUGGAAAGAGAGAAGAGUAGAAUUGCAGAGCUACGCGAUAUUAUUCAGAUCCAGAACUCUAAAAUUGAUCAGAUGGCCAGCAAGGCAAGAGAAAAGGAAGAGAAUCAGAGUUGGGUGUUUGCAAAGUUUGGGAUGUUGCUCGCGAUCGUUGAAAAAAUCGAGCAGCUGUCUUCGACUAAGUAAUCUUGAUUACAUCGUGAACAUGUGGGAUGUUUGACGCUUGAACUAUUGUUUGAUGUUGGGUUUGUCC
Long non-coding RNA from Lolium rigidum, 754 nucleotides. RefSeq lists it as uncharacterized. The transcript is spliced from 3 exons. Lineage: Eukaryota; Viridiplantae; Streptophyta; Magnoliopsida; Poales; Poaceae. The record is from RefSeq and is a predicted model, not a curated record.